CAGUAACUUAGUCAGGGGUGGUGGCACAUGCCUGUAAUCCUAGCAGCUUAGGAAGCUAACGCAAGAGGAUUGGGAGUUCAAAGCCAGCCUCAGCAAAAGUAAAGCACUAAGCAACUCAGUCAUACCCUGUCUCUAAAAUAAAGUAUAAAAAAGGCUGAGGAUGUGACUCAGUGGUUGAGUGCCCCUGUGUUCAUCCCUGGUACCCCCCAAAAAAAGAAAGAAAAUGCUAUUAAAAGAAAAGAAACAGUGACUUACUUUCUCCAAAAAUCAGGUGAUACCAGUCACAAAGGCUAAACCUGCCCCUAACAGGUAUAAUACCAGAUAUGUAGGACCCCAGUAGACCUCCAGGAACUGAAUCUGAUGCAAUCACACAAGAGUCUUUAUUGCAAGCUCUAGCCUGGACUCACAACUGUUUCCAAUGCAGCAGUCCCUAGGAGUGAGCCCUGGUCCUUUGUUCAGUGAGAUUUUAUAGGGUUUUUGGGGAUACUCUAUGUGUCACAAGAUCACACAGUGAAUCAUUUCAUAUCACGGGAAAAUCAAACAACAACUCUUAACAUUGAUUAGCACAUUUAUUGACAGGAACAAGUUGGGUAGGGGUGAUUGCUUGGUACAAGAGGGGGGAUUCAUUUGAACUGACUGGUUUAAGCCAUGAGGGGUGUACGUGCUAAACUACAUGGUUUCCCAACAUGUUAUCAAUCACCGAGACUACUGGAGGAGUCAUCUGGAACCCCAGGUAUUUUCCCUGGCUCAUGCUGAUUGGUGGUUGAUAGGGGGUUGCUAUGGGUCCUCACCUAGGUAACUGAGUCAGGGACACCUGGCACUGCAGAUCUCUCCUGUUAUUUACAGACAAAGAACUCAGCAAGGUGGCUAUGUGCCUAGGAAUGCUCUAUGGAUUUUCCCAAGGACAAAGGUCAUGCCCCCUACCUCUGGACAGGCCUUGAGGUAGAAGCUGGUUUCUCAAAAAUAGAGUCACAUCAGUUUCUCACAGGCAGCCAUGAUUCUGGCUUGUAAAAGAUAAUGCUCAAGGGGGAGUUGCUGCUGCUCUCACUUUCCUUUGCUUUCUCCCACUUGUUGCUGCUCUCCCUCUCUUGUUGUUCUCUCUGUGCAAGACAGACAUUGUCAGGUUCCUGACAAUAAGUCUGCUUAUGCCUCUGUAGUUGGUGUUCCUGUGUGGUCAGUCCUGCACCACUUUUCUUUCAUUGAUGCCAGUGACUUGGAUACAGGCUCUGAGACAAACUCUCCUCUUGACCCUUUGGGGAUUUGAGCUGCUUCAGGAUUCUGGGCUGAAGGCCUAGGACACUUCCUUCCAUUCACUGAGGGCUCUUUCUGUCUCCCCACACUGGCCUUAUUUGGAUAAGUGACCUUGCCCUUUACCUCCCAUCCUCCUUACACUUCUCCACUCUGGAGACUUACUAAACUUAAGUCUUGGCUCAGCACCAAGACUCACUACAAGUGACCUACUUUCCCAUUUCUCCCCCUUGGCGAGUUUCUACUCCAGUCUUGGCUCUAUUCUAUUUGGGCCUACAUGGCUAUCUGGGAGAGCUACAAAAGCCCUGAUACCAGGCACCAAGACCCUUGACAGGCUUCACAAGCCUGGGACUAGUGAAGUACUGGGUGAUAACCCCCUUCUCUCAGUCCCAGAAAGGGUUUAGCCCUGGGUCAGUGAAUCAUGUGUUGACAACCCCUCUUCACUCUUGUCCCUUCUUAUUCUUCUCUGUUUUGUCCUAGAGCCAGGGACGCCUGCUUCUAGCCACUCCAACACUCCAACUUGCCAUGGGUAUCUCUCAAUCCAAAACCCCAUCUGACUCACCUAUCAGCUGCCUCCUCACCCCCUCCAUUUGGCUCCAGAUCUAAAGGCCCAUCAACUGAUUCAAUUUUCCACAAAGUCAUGGCCUUUCUAUGACUUGGACAAUGGAUACAAAUGGCCACCUAAUUGCACCUUCAUUCUUAACAUUUUUGGGGAUCUUUACAACUUUUGUGAGUGUUUGGAUAAAUGGAAGGAAAACCCUUGCAUGCAAGCAUUCUCUUUUUUCUAUUCUAAACAUUCCCUCUAUUCUUCUUACUCUCUGUGUCAGUCCUGCUGCCCUACAUAAGUUCUCCUUGCUCACUCUCCCUUAACCCUUUCCCCAUCCCAAUCCUACCAGGUUUCCCCUUUUUAACCCACAAGAUCACUUUUCACUUUCUCAGCUUCCACUCUAUAUUGCUCUGCUGCCCCACCCAGCCACACUUCAUCACCUUACUCAGAUGCACCUUCACCACAUAGGGAAUCUACCUUUCUCCUGACCUCAACACCACAUCUCCUACUCCCACCUCUUCUUCUCCCUCUUUCUUCCCUCCUCAUACUCCCCACCUGACAACUUCAACAGCUCCCCUCACUCUCUUAAUGGUACCACUCACUCUUCCUCUUCUCCACUAAUAAAGUUUCAUAAAUUUUUACAUCCAAAUAUGGCCUAAUUACCGACUGGGAAAUAGAGUAAGGUUAAAAAGACAUAGGCAGCAAUCUCCCUGGCAAGGAUACACUGAAGCUAAUAUUGAAAUACAAAGUCAGACUCAGCAGGCUUGAUAAGAGGCCUAAGACUAAAGAAAAAAAAAAAAAAAAGUCAAUUUAAUUUUUUCCUUAGCUGCAACACAGAAAACUGACUUCAAACUCACUCUUUCUCUCUCUCACUCUCUGUCUCAUUCUCUCAUAUUGAUUUAAUAAAAUAAUUAAUGACCAUAUCAUUUUUUCUAGGACUCUUCUUUUUUUAAAAAAAAUUCUAUAUUAUUGAACUCAUAAUUUUGAUCCUGCAUG
This 2791-nucleotide long non-coding RNA is filed under the name Marmota monax (woodchuck). The record is from RNAcentral. Lineage: Eukaryota; Metazoa; Chordata; Mammalia; Rodentia; Sciuridae.